GGGGCUGAUUUUGGUUUUGACAGCAAGUUGAACUGGUGAGUAAGCAUGCCGGGCAACGCACUUUAUCCCGUAAUCCUGUGGUGCAACAAAUUUAGUUGGCGAAUCUAAUUACGCGCUUGCAGCUUAAUCGAAGUAUAGUAGAUUAGCUCCCGAUAGCUAUCGGGAUUCCCGAUAUUAGAUAUUGGGACAAGCUGUUCCACCAAAACCUUUCCCUUCGGUUUUGGAGCCUGGGGCACACGUGAGUCGGGGAUAGUAUAGCAAACUCCCUUAAUGCUGUGCGAAAUUUAAAGGGAUAAGUCUGAAUUCGGCUGUCUGUUGCUAGGUUCAGGUUGAAAACCAAUAACAGAAUAAGCAUGUAGAAAGCUUAUGGGUUGCUUGUUUGGACCCGGGUUCGACUCCCGGCAGCUCCACAA
RNAcentral lists this transfer-messenger RNA (413 nucleotides) under Bacteroidales. Its description in RNAcentral is "UBA10428 sp016929525 Standard tmRNA". It matches the Rfam family "transfer-messenger RNA". Rfam says of the family: Bacterial tmRNA, also known as 10Sa RNA or SsrA, is named for its dual tRNA and mRNA-like properties. Its role is to liberate the mRNA from a stalled ribosome. To accomplish this part of the tmRNA is used as a reading frame that ends in a translation stop signal. RNAcentral also lists the same sequence under 1 other name. Lineage: Bacteria; Pseudomonadati; Bacteroidota; Bacteroidia. The record is from RNAcentral.